CCUACGGGAGGCAGCAGUGGGGAAUAUUGCGCAAUGGGCGGAAGCCUGACGCAGCGACGCCGCGUGGGGGAUGACGGCCUUCGGGUUGUAAACCUCUUUCAGUAGGGAAGAAGCGCAAGUGACGGUACCUGCAGAAGAAGCACCGGCUAACUACGUGCCAGCAGCCGCGGUAAUACGUAGGGUGCAAGCGUUGUCCGGAAUUAUUGGGCGUAAAGAGCUCGUAGGCGGUCUGUCGCGUCGGCUGUGAAAACUCGGGGCUCAACCCCGAGCCUGCAGUCGAUACGGGCAGACUAGAGUGCUGUAGGGGAGACUGGAAUUCCUGGUGUAGCGGUGAAAUGUGCAGAUAUCAGGAGGAACACCGAUGGCGAGGGCAGGUCUCUGGGCUGUUACUGACGCUGAGGAGCGAAAGCAUGGGGAGCGAACAGGAUUAGAUACCCUGGUAGUCCAUGCCGUAAACGUUGGGCACUAGGUGUGGGGGACAUUCCACGUUUUCCGCGCCGUAGCUAACGCAUUAAGUGCCCCGCCUGGGGAGUACGGCCGCAAGGCUAAAACUCAAAUGAAUUGACGGGG
RNAcentral lists this ribosomal RNA (570 nucleotides) under uncultured Kocuria sp. RNAcentral describes it as "bacterial SSU rRNA". It matches the Rfam family "Bacterial small subunit ribosomal RNA", at positions 338 to 918 of the family's 1533-position model. The record is from RNAcentral. Lineage: Bacteria; Bacillati; Actinomycetota; Actinomycetes; Micrococcales; Micrococcaceae.